Schistosoma margrebowiei is the source of this 45-nucleotide non-coding RNA. Lineage: Eukaryota; Metazoa; Platyhelminthes; Trematoda; Strigeidida; Schistosomatidae. The record is from Rfam.
AUCCGGUUGAAGAGUCUCAAGUGGGACGAAACGCGAGUCAUGGAU